RNAcentral lists this long non-coding RNA (524 nucleotides) under Elaeis guineensis (African oil palm). Its description in RNAcentral is "long non-coding RNA (EGUI_LNC008705)". Lineage: Eukaryota; Viridiplantae; Streptophyta; Magnoliopsida; Arecales; Arecaceae. The record is from RNAcentral.
AGUCUAGAUCAAAAUCCAAUUUCUGUUAGGACUCAGACAUCUUUCUGACUAUUCGAUCUCUUUCACAUGCAUCCAUGGCUAUCCGAUCAUGCAAAAUGCACCUGUAAAUCAUACGUAAACCACUCCCACAUGAAUCAAGGCUUUUUCAUGUGUGCCGCAUGUCACACGCUCGUCUGCGCAAGCGUGAGCCACGAGAAAACCUCCUUGGGCCGCGACGGUCCAUGCCUUGUGCAUGGAUCAUGAACUUUCCCACAGACCGCAUGUGCACCACGCGGGCAUGCACUUGGACUAUGCACCCGCAUGCAUCCUGGGCAACAUGCCUGACUGGGCUACAUGCACUAUGCGCAAUGGGCAAGCUUGCAUGCUGCAGACCUGCGUGCUCUAGGACAUGUGCACUGUAGGCAUGUGGGCCGCAGGUGCAAGCGGGCCUGGGCACUUGCAGGUUGGGCUUGAGGGCUGUGCCUCCAGUCCAAGCAUAUUAUUUUCUGUUGUGGGCUUCUCCUUCUUAGGUUGCUAUGCACUAU